This 632-nucleotide ribosomal RNA is filed under the name Bacillus subtilis. RNAcentral describes it as "bacterial SSU rRNA". It matches the Rfam family "Bacterial small subunit ribosomal RNA", at positions 551 to 1184 of the family's 1533-position model. The record is from RNAcentral. Lineage: Bacteria; Bacillati; Bacillota; Bacilli; Caryophanales; Bacillaceae.
UUAUUGGGCGUAAGGGCUCGCAGGCGGUUUCUUAAGUCUGAUGUGAAAGCCCCCGGCUCAACCGGGGAGGGUCAUUGGAAACUGGGGAACUUGAGUGCAGAAGAGGAGAGUGGAAUUCCACGUGUAGCGGUGAAAUGCGUAGAGAUGUGGAGGAACACCAGUGGCGAAGGCGACUCUCUGGUCUGUAACUGACGCUGAGGAGCGAAAGCGUGGGGAGCGAACAGGAUUAGAUACCCUGGUAGUCCACGCCGUAAACGAUGAGUGCUAAGUGUUAGGGGGUUUCCGCCCCUUAGUGCUGCAGCUAACGCAUUAAGCACUCCGCCUGGGGAGUACGGUCGCAAGACUGAAACUCAAAGGAAUUGACGGGGGCCCGCACAAGCGGUGGAGCAUGUGGUUUAAUUCGAAGCAACGCGAAGAACCUUACCAGGUCUUGACAUCCUCUGACAAUCCUAGAGAUAGGACGUCCCCUUCGGGGGCAGAGUGACAGGUGGUGCAUGGUUGUCGUCAGCUCGUGUCGUGAGAUGUUGGGUUAAGUCCCGCAACGAGCGCAACCCUUGAUCUUAAUUGCCAGCAUUCAGUUGGGCACUCUAAGGUGACUGCCGGUGACAAACCGGAUGAAGGUGGGGAUGACG